Molecule: non-coding RNA, 74 nt
Organism: Podarcis lilfordi (Lilford's wall lizard)
Lineage: Eukaryota; Metazoa; Chordata; Lepidosauria; Squamata; Lacertidae
Source: the annotation of a GenBank genome assembly
UGCAAACAAGCUCAGUUGGUUGAGCAUGAGACUCUGAAUUUCAGGGUCAUUCGUUCAAGUCCCACAUUGGGCAA